Non-coding RNA from Vicia faba (fava bean), 201 nucleotides. The record is from the annotation of a GenBank genome assembly. Lineage: Eukaryota; Viridiplantae; Streptophyta; Magnoliopsida; Fabales; Fabaceae.
AUGAACCAAGAUAAACACAACACUCACUUUCUCUAUGAAGCAAUCAUAUCUUGCAAUCACUGGAAAGAAGGGUUCAAGCUGAAAAAUGCAACUUUACUUAUUCGAACAGGUGAAAACCAUGGGUCUCAGAACCACCAUUUAUCUGUCUUACAUAUACACACUCAGCGAGCAAAGACAAACAUGACAACACCUCAAGAGUGA